This 448-nucleotide ribosomal RNA is filed under the name Granulicatella elegans. RNAcentral describes it as "bacterial SSU rRNA". It matches the Rfam family "Bacterial small subunit ribosomal RNA", at positions 28 to 462 of the family's 1533-position model. Lineage: Bacteria; Bacillati; Bacillota; Bacilli; Lactobacillales; Carnobacteriaceae. The record is from RNAcentral.
GACGAACGCUGGCGGCGUGCCUAAUACAUGCAAGUCGAACGAGAGCGACCGGUGCUUGCACUGGUCAAUCUAGUGGCGAACGGGUGAGUAACACGUGGGUAACCUGCCCAUCAGAGGGGGAUAACAUUCGGAAACGGAUGCUAAAACCGCAUAGGUUCUUUAGUCGCAUGACUGAAGAAGGAAAAGAGGCUUCGGCUUCUGCUGAUGGAUGGACCCGCGGUGCAUUAGCUAGUUGGUGAGGUAACGGCUCACCAAGGCCGUGAUGCAUAGCCGACCUGAGAGGGUGAUCGGCCACAUUGGGACUGAGACACGGCCCAAACUCCUACGGGAGGCAGCAGUAGGGAAUCUUCCGCAAUGGACGCAAGUCUGACGGAGCAACGCCGCGUGAGUGAAGAAGGAUUUCGGUUCGUAAAAAACUCUGUUUGUUAGAGAAAGAAACAGCGCAUAG